GACGAACGCUGGCGGCGUGCUUAACACAUGCAAGUCGAACGGUGAAGCGCCUUCCUUUUUGGUGGGUGUGGAUGAGUGGCGAACGGGUGAGUAACUCGUGAGUCACCUGCCCCCUUCUUCUUGAUAACCGCAUGACGGUGUGGCUAAUACGGGAUAUUCUGGGUCUGUCGCUUGAUGGGUCUGGGAAAGAUUUUGUUUCUGUGGGUGAUGGGCUCGCGGCCUAUCAGCGUGUUGGUGGGGUGAUGGCCUACCAAGGCGGUGAUGGGUAGCCGGCCUGAGAGGGUCGACGGUCACACAGGGACGGAGACACGGCGAAGACUCCGAGGGGAGGCAGCAGGGGAGAAUAUGGCACAAUGGGAGCAAGCCUGAUGCAGCGACGCCGCGUGAGGGAUGGAGGCCUGCGGGUUGUGAACCUCUAUCGGCAGAGAAGCAGGCCUGCAGCGUUUGUGGGUGGGUUGACGGUAGCUGGAUAAGAAGCGCCGGCUAACUACGUG
This 494-nucleotide ribosomal RNA is filed under the name uncultured bacterium. RNAcentral's name for it is "partial 16S ribosomal RNA". It matches the Rfam family "Bacterial small subunit ribosomal RNA", at positions 28 to 507 of the family's 1533-position model. The record is from RNAcentral.